ACCUUUUCUUUGCAAAGAAAAUAAAAACCUUGUCGGCCGGCAGUAGUCUCUAUUUCAUUAUUCACCAGCAGCAGAGAAUUUCCACAACAAUUUGGUGUCAGAAGUGGGAUCCCUCGAGUGAUUGUCUGGGACGGAGCAGUGACAGGCCAUCCUGGAAGGAAAAAGAUUUCCAGCCUGCAACCUCAAAUCCUCUUCUGAGCAGGGAGGACUGACCGCAGACGUCCCAGAUAGUUGCCGCUAGGAUUCCACAAACGCAAUUCAGCGAAAUUCAUCUGUUGGCGGCUUUGAAGCUGGAUCCAGAUCUUGACGGCAACCUACCAUUUCGUCCUUCUUUCAACACCUACAGUGGCCCUCAACUACCUGAUGAGUCAAGCAAUUCUCCAGAUGUGUGGAAAAUUCAUCUCUGCAAUUGUUUCUUAAACGGACUAAAACCGGACAUUGCCUCAGCUGUUAAAAGUUCCUGCAUCGGUUGGAAUGAUGCACGCCUGUUCGAACUUCGCAGACACACCAUACAUGCCCAUGACCAAAUACUCUCUAAGAUUAAAAAAAAAACAAACAAAAAAAAAACACAGAAGGAGCACAUGGCAGCAAUAACCAUGUAUAACACAGUCCGAGAACAUGGACAACCAGGUCAUGAACAUAGAGGGAAAGAACGCGGCCGACACAAGAACUGGGGAAGAAAACCUCCAAGUGAUGUUUCCUCUGUGGCCAGCGUGGACACUGCAGACGUGAUUGCCACAGAAGUACCUCAAAACUCCACAGUAGACAAGUCAGACUGAAAAUGGUUGAGGGUUGUUGGAGAGAGAUGGACUCCUGCUGACAAGCCAAACCAACUUGUGGGGCCAGAAGAAGCAGGUGAAAUCAGCCCUUCCACCACCAGCUUCCACAUCACUCCAUGAUUUCCAACCUGGCGACUGGGUAGUGAUAAAGGACCUAAGAAGGAAACGCUGGCACUCCAAAC
This is a non-coding RNA of Epinephelus lanceolatus (giant grouper), 961 nucleotides long. The record is from RefSeq and is a predicted model, not a curated record. Lineage: Eukaryota; Metazoa; Chordata; Actinopteri; Perciformes; Serranidae.